CCAGUGCGCAGAGGUUUUAACAGUGACUUCCCGGGCUGUGUGAGCGGCGCGUGCGCGGGUAUCCUCAAGGGACCUGCGCAGAGUCUGGACAUUACUCUCAGGCCAACGAGGUGGGCAGGCCUGCUGCUAGGUGACCGAGUCCUCUUUGGCGGUUUUAAUUUCCCCAGCAACUUGCUCGCCUUCUGCUGUAGCUGAAUCUGGCGCGUAAGAUUCCUGGCGGCCCAGGCCCACACCAAGGUUUGUGCCCGGCCCAGCCAGAGUGAAGUUUGAAACGGAGACCUCUGCCGGAAGGAGCGGGUCGUUGGCAGGACAGCGGUUUGGCCUCCUUCCCCUCCGCCCUUGCACAGCCUGGGGCGGUGAGGAGGUAGGGGAGUGGACCUGUGCGAUCUGACCUCUGGGGCACUUGAACUCAGCUACGUACAUCCUACCCCUGGUAUUUCUUUUCAGCGCUGGUGGCGAUCAGAGCAAUUAGCAUGCGAGCCCUCGGGCUGUUCCUCCAGCUUCUGCCAGGAUUGGAGGGUUAAUGUGAGAUGGCACAGCAUAGGAGACUGAAGUGUGAAAGAAGUCAUAAGAAGGCUUCCUGAGGACUUUGAGGCAACAGAGUGUUGCGUUAAGACCUGACCAUGAGGCAUCAGGCCAUGCCUGCGGAGCCGUGGACAAACAUGAAGCAGUAGAACAGGUUUGAUAUGUCUCGCACUGUUGGUCACUUAGGGUGCAGAGUCAGGAACAGGAGAAACAGGUGCUCACCUAUGCACCCUUUAGUAUUCUCCGAGUCACGCCACAUAAAUAGCUUUCAGCAGCCAAGUGAGG
Molecule: long non-coding RNA, 810 nt
Filed under: Mus musculus (house mouse)
Lineage: Eukaryota; Metazoa; Chordata; Mammalia; Rodentia; Muridae
Description: lincRNA-EC167
Source: RNAcentral